CCUACGGGAGGCAGCAGUGAGGAAUAUUGGUCAAUGGUCGGAAGACUGAACCAGCCAUGCCGCGUGCAGGAAGAAUGCCUUAUGGGUUGUAAACUGCUUUUAUAUGGGAAGAAUAAGGUGUACGUGUACAUUGAUGACGGUACCAUAUGAAUAAGCAUCGGCUAACUCCGUGCCAGCAGCCGCGGUAAUACGGAGGAUGCGAGCGUUAUUCGGAAUCAUUGGGUUUAAAGGGUCUGUAGGCGGGCUAUUAAGUCAGAGGUGAAAGGUUUCAGCUUAACUGAGAAAUUGCCUUUGAUACUGGUAGUCUUGAAUAUCUGUGAAGUUCUUGGAAUGUGUAGUGUAGCGGUGAAAUGCUUAGAUAUUACACAGAACACCGAUUGCGAAGGCAGGGGACUAACAGACAAUUGACGCUGAGAGACGAAAGCGUGGGGAGCGAACAGGAUUAGAUACCCUAGUAGUC
RNAcentral lists this ribosomal RNA (460 nucleotides) under uncultured Capnocytophaga sp. Its description in RNAcentral is "bacterial SSU rRNA". It matches the Rfam family "Bacterial small subunit ribosomal RNA", at positions 338 to 795 of the family's 1533-position model. Lineage: Bacteria; Pseudomonadati; Bacteroidota; Flavobacteriia; Flavobacteriales; Flavobacteriaceae. The record is from RNAcentral.